Molecule: ribosomal RNA, 253 nt
Filed under: uncultured bacterium
Lineage: Bacteria
Description: partial 16S ribosomal RNA
Rfam family: Bacterial small subunit ribosomal RNA
Source: RNAcentral
GACGAACCGAGCGAACGUUGUUCGGAAUCACUGGGCUUAAAGGGCGCGUAGGCGGCUUGUCAAGUCGGUGGUGAAAUCCUGCAGCUUAACUGUAGAAGUGCCUCCGAUACUGGCGAGCUCGAGGGAGGUAGGGGUCUUUGGAACUUCUGGUGGAGCGGUGAAAUGCGUUGAUAUCAGAAGGAACGCCGGUGGCGAAAGCGAAGGACUGGACCUCUUCUAACGCUGAGGCGCGAAAGCUAGGGGAGCAAACGGG